UUACAUUUAAAUAUGUAGCUAAAAUUGAUAACUUUCUGGGAAAAUAUAUAUGAUAAAUUAAAAAGAAGAAAUUGGGAAUGUAAAUAAACCAUUAAUCAUGAAAGACUUUGAAAUGGCAAUGAAAGCACUAUCCCAGAUACUUCACAAAAUUCCCAAGAUUGUAUAGAUAUGUUUUACCGACAUUUUUGGAACAGGUUAUCUUUAUAUUAAAUAAAUUGUUCUAAAAAAUAAAAAAAUGUGGGGAGCUAUUAUUCCCUCAAUCUAAACCAUGUAAACCUUGAACUGGAAAAUGAUUAUAAUUUAGUUUUAUAACUAACUAUAAAACAUAUUUAUACAAAUCCUUAGCAUAAUAUUAAGUAAUCCAAUAGCGUUUUAAAACCAAUAUAGUGUGAGUAAAUACAAUUUACUUCAAGAAUUAUUUAAUGUCUGAAAAAUCCAUCAAUAUAAAAUAUUAAUGACCUAAAGUAUCCAUCACAUUCUCACCCGGAAUGACACAAAAAACAUAGGAUCGUGAACGAUAUCUUUUAAUAAAAAAAAUAAAAGCUUUAGAAAUCUAAAACCAGCAUUUUUCUUACUAGAAAAAUGUUUUUUAAAAAAUUCUAUAGGAAAUGCUACAUUUGGAGAAAAAUUUUCUGAUGCGUUUCUUUGAAGGUUGAGAAUAAGACAAAGAUGAUUGAUGAACAUCAAUGUUCCUAUGCUACUCAAGAGUUCUCUCUUACUAAAUAAGGUAAAGAAAAGAAAGAGGAGGCCUAAAUGCUAAGCAGAAAGAGGAUGUAUAUACCAUUUAUGAGAUUUCUCUUUAAAUCUCCGAUUCUAAGAAAACAGAGACAAUUGAUGGCCAAGAAACUACCUGUGGAUGGAAAAUGGAGAAGGUGAAGCAAUAUUGUUCCAUUAACUCCAAGAAAGGUCAAGAGGUUGUCACCUUGGUGACCAUCCCCUAGGCAAGGUGUUGGGGUGCUAGGAAGAAGGUGGAGGCUGACCAAUUCCCUCAUCUGACAGGUUGUGUGAACAUAAGGAUUGGCUCUCAAGAUGAAGCAGCCAUUUGAAGCUUCCAAAGACCACUCGAGCAUGACCAUUCAUUAAGAAUUUCAAUUUUGACAGAAGCAGAUGUAACAGGUUUCUUUUUAUCUCUGUUGUUCAUAAAAAAAAACUGCCUAAAGAAGGGUGAAUCUUCUCUGUUAGCCCCUUAACGGGAUAAGACAUUCGAAUUAAGAAAAUGAAAUUGAAGAGGGAUGAUCUGCUUGGCAUAAGACAAGAAGGAGAGCUGAGUACUCUGAAGUGUAAUCUUGCAUGGGAUUUGAGCAGAGGCUAGUGAGAAGAAAAGCAAAAGUAAAUGGUAUUGUGAUCCCGGAAAUGUUCAAUGUAAUCUGCCAAGCUCAUACAUGCUUUAGGUGAGUGAUUUUCAGUGGUGAAAAUUCUAAAAACAAUAGUUUAUAUCAGAUAUUUUGUGAUGUGAACUGAAGCAACAUUCCAAUAAUAAGCCUAUGCCACAAUUCCUGUUCUCCACUUGGGACUGGUAGAGACUGUUAGAGGUUUAGGGGUUACCCUGGCCACAGUAUUGAGGGGUUCAAGGCAAAACCACAUGGAUAUCAAGAAGCAGAUGACUCUCCUCCUCCCUUACGCCACAUCCAAACAAGUGAAGUCUGGAUUUUAAAAAUACAUUCAUUUGUAAUAUUAUUUCUUGGAAUAAAACAACUAUUUCAUACUUGUUGAAUUAAUGACUAAAGAAAAUACAAAAAGACUUUGCACUCACAACCUGUAUUAAUUAAUUCAUCUUGAAAAUAAAACUACUAAUGGUAAUCAUAUUUUAAUGUAAAAUAAAAUCAGUUUAAACAAAACAAGACACCAAUAUUAAUAGCAUGAAAUAUCCAGUUGUCUUAACUGAGUGUGCUAUGUAAAUGCAAUUACCUUAAGUGCUUUCCCUUUUCAUCCAAAAGAGAAUUUGUUUAUACUAUGUAGAGGCAAAUACCAUAUAUAAAAAAUGUCUUCUGGUGAUAAAUGUUUUUCAUUUUAUGCAACCUUCUUGAAUUGCAUUUUGUGUGUUUACAAAUAUAUACCAAGCCUCCCAGAUAUUGGCAAAAGAAAAGUAUAACCUAUCCAAAAAUCUUCCGUUUAUAUAAAAUAUACAAAUUGCUGCUAAGAAAUGACAUAACUUUAUUCUAUCAAUUCUAUAGUCUAAGCGUUUUAAAGUAUAGCUGGAAGGGAUCUCAAAAGGAUCAUCUAAUCCAGUAUUAAGGCAAGAGCUUGUCUAAGCUAUGCUAGACAGUAGGAGGCCCAUUUCUUUUUUUAUAUUUUUGCUUCCUCAGACAUGGGAAACCACUGUUCAUACAAAUUUCACCUAGCAACCAUCAAAGGGUUUGAAAACAAUUAAUAGAUCACUCCCCAGCUGCUACUUCUGAAAGCUAAACACAAAUUCUUUAGCCAUUUCCUGAGAAAACCCAGUUAUCCAGACUUCAACUAUUUUUGUGACUAUUCAGAACUGAGGUUUCUUUUCUUGCAUUUUUAAAAAUGUGAAAACCCAGAGGUAUACAAAACAAGGCAAAAAGAGCAAGGUGAUGCACAUUAGAAGAGAGAAUGUAUCUUAUUACACAAUGGAUUUGGCUUCUUUCACAGCAGCACCAUAAUGCAGACUUAGGCACAUCUCAGGGCUCAUGCUGAAAAUCAGAUCUCGCUCCCCGUUUCAACGAUCUCCAGUUAGUUCUUCCUGAACUUGGCAUUUUAUUCAAGUUUAAACUUGUAUUAUUUUUAUUAAGAGUGGUAAAAUAAUUAGUUUACUAUUACAGGAAAAAAAAAAAAAAGUUUGAAGUCAGUGGCCUGGAUCGGAAUCUCUGCUGGUUGUGUGGCCUGGACUGUAAUGUCCUCAACUCUAAAAUGUGAAAAUUAUUCUCUACAUUCUAGAUUAGAUAAUUUGUGGGACUGUCUUAGAAGCCAUAUAUAAAUCACUACCACAGGGCCUGUUGUAUAAUAGCCAUUCCACUAGAGUUAACUUUCUACCCCAAAUUGCUUCUUCCUGAAAUAUUUGCUGCCUGGUCACUUAAGUUAGAGGUAUAAAGUCAACCUUCAUUAUUUCUUCUUUUUUAGCUUCCACUUCCAGUUAUUUUUUUUUCCUUUCAUCCCUAAGAUAUUAUUUCAAGCCUUCAUUAUCAUACAAUUAGAAGGUUGCAGUUGAUUCCUAGCUUUCAUUCCUCCACUCUUUUCCCUCUCCAUUUUAUUUUAUUUAUUUAUGUUUUGAGACAGGGUCUUGCUCUGUCACCCAGGGUGAAGG
This 3265-nucleotide long non-coding RNA is filed under the name Homo sapiens (human). RNAcentral's name for it is "HSALNT0306123". The record is from RNAcentral. Lineage: Eukaryota; Metazoa; Chordata; Mammalia; Primates; Hominidae.